This 477-nucleotide ribosomal RNA is filed under the name uncultured Streptococcus sp. RNAcentral describes it as "bacterial SSU rRNA". It matches the Rfam family "Bacterial small subunit ribosomal RNA", at positions 900 to 1382 of the family's 1533-position model. Lineage: Bacteria; Bacillati; Bacillota; Bacilli; Lactobacillales; Streptococcaceae. The record is from RNAcentral.
CUUAAAGGAAUUGACGGGGCCGCACAAGCGGUGAGCAUGUGUUAAUUCGAAGCAACGCGAAGAACCUUUACCAGGUUCUUGACAUCCCGAUGCUAUUUCUAGAGAUAGAAAGUUACUUCGGUACAUCGGUGACAGGUGGUGCAUGGUUGUCGUCAGCUCGUGUCGUGAGAUGUUGGGUUAAGUCCCGCAACGAGCGCAACCCCUAUUGUUAGUUGCCAUCAUUCAGUUGGGCACUCUAGCGAGACUGCCGGUAAUAAACCGGAGGAAGUGGGGAUGACGUCAAAUCAUCAUGCCCCUUAUGACCUGGGCUACACACGUGCUACAAUGGUUGGUACAACGAGUUGCGAGUCGGUGACGGCGAGCUAAUCUCUUAAAGCCAAUCUCAGUUCGGAUUGUAGGCUGCAACUCGCCUACAUGAAGUCGGAAUCGCUAGUAAUCGCGGAUCAGCACGCCGCGGUGAAUACGUUCCCGGGCCUU